GAAUAUUGCGCAAUGGCCAAAAGGCUGACGCAGCGACGCCGCGUGGAGGAUGAAGUCCGUUAGGACGUAAACUCCUUUUGUAGGGGAAGAAUGUCCGCCUACGGCGGAAGGGACGGUACCCUGCGAAUAAGGAUCGGCUAACUACGGGCCAGCCGCCGCGGUAAUACGUAGGAUCCGAGCGUUGUCCGGAAUUACUGGGUGUAAAGGGCGUGUAGGUGGGUCUCUAAGUCGAUGGUGAAAUCCUGCAGCUCAACUGUAGAAUUGCCGUCGAUACUGGAGGUCUUGAGUGCGGCAGAGGGAGAUGGAAUUCAUGGUGUAGCGGUGAAAUGUGUAGAUAUCAUGAAGAACACCGGUUGCGAAGGCGGUCUCCUGGUCCGUUACUGACACUGAGGCGCGAAAGCGUGGGGAGCAAACAGG
RNAcentral lists this ribosomal RNA (417 nucleotides) under uncultured bacterium. Its description in RNAcentral is "bacterial SSU rRNA". It matches the Rfam family "Bacterial small subunit ribosomal RNA", at positions 359 to 776 of the family's 1533-position model. The record is from RNAcentral.